This 264-nucleotide long non-coding RNA is filed under the name Lathyrus oleraceus (garden pea). RNAcentral's name for it is "Pisum sativum (pea) long non-coding RNA (PSAT_LNC040085)". The record is from RNAcentral. Lineage: Eukaryota; Viridiplantae; Streptophyta; Magnoliopsida; Fabales; Fabaceae.
CACAAUUCCCCAAAAAUCACAAACAAAUUCUCCAAAUUCUCCAAAUUCUCAAAAACCUCAUAGAACUUCAAUUGAUCAAAACUCUCUCAAUUCUUGAUCAAUUUGUGAAAUUCUUCUUGCUGCAACACAAACAAAUUCUCCAAAUUCUCCAAAUUCUCAAAAACCUCAUAGAACUUCAAUUGAUCAAAACUCUCUCAAUUCUUGAUCAAUUUGUGAAAUUCUUCUUGCUGCAACUUCCACUCAUCAUCAUCUGCGACUGUUUUU